RNAcentral lists this unclassified non-coding RNA (377 nucleotides) under soil metagenome. RNAcentral describes it as "partial contains 5.8S ribosomal RNA, internal transcribed spacer 2, and large subunit ribosomal RNA". The stretch from base 1 to 120 matches the Rfam family "5.8S ribosomal RNA", at positions 35 to 154 of the family's 154-position model. The record is from RNAcentral.
GAUGAAGAACGUAGCGAAAUGCGAUAAGUAAUGUGAAUUGCAGAAUUCAGUGAAUCAUCGAAUCUUUGAACGCAUCUUGCGCUCCUUGGUAUUCUGAGGAGCAUGCCUGUUUGAGUGUCAUUAAAUUCUCAACCGCACUGACUUUGAAUUGGUGUGGCUUGGAUUUGGGGGGAAAAUUGUUGUGGGCUUUUUUGUAUAGUCUGCUCCCCUGAAAUUGAUCAGCGGUACCUUUGUGGAACUGUCUACAGGUGUGAUAAUUAUCUACAUCCUAGACAUCUGCUGGAAUGCUGCUUUCUAAACCUUACUUGUAUUGACAAUCUUGACCUCAAAUCAGGUAGGACUACCCGCUGAACUUAAGCAUAUCAAUAAGCGGAGGA